Molecule: long non-coding RNA, 44071 nt
Filed under: Malus domestica (apple)
Lineage: Eukaryota; Viridiplantae; Streptophyta; Magnoliopsida; Rosales; Rosaceae
Description: long non-coding RNA (MDOM_LNC007035)
Source: RNAcentral
CUCCACCACUUCCUUCAAAGCACACAUCUUGGAUCGACGAGAACCGCUUAAUCAACUUCUUCGAUCUUGGGACCAGCACUGCUGCCACCAGCAGGAGGAACAUCUUCAUCCAUGCCGCCACCGACAUCAGGUCCACCAGCACCACCCUGGUACAUCUUGGCAAUGAUCGGAUUGCAGAUGCUCUCCAGCUCCUUCAUCUUGUCCUCAAACUCGUCGGCCUCAGCAAGCUGGUUUCCGUCAAGCCAUUGGAUGGCCUGGUCAAUUGCAUCCUCAAUCUUCUUCUUGUCAGCUGCGUCUAGCUUGGAGGCAAUCUUAUCGUCCUUGAUCGUGUUCCUCAUAUUGUAGGCGUAAUUCUCCAGAGCAUUCUUGGCCUCCACCUUCUUCUUGUGCUCCUCAUCUUCUGACUUGUACUUCUCAGCCUCUUGAACCAUCUUUUCAAUUUCUUCCUUCGACAAUCUUCCCUUGUCAUUGGUGAUGGUAAUCUUGUUCUUCUGCCCUGUAGUCUUGUCUUCAGCCGAGACGUUCAAUAUACCGUUGGCAUCAAUAUCAAAGCAGACAGUGAUUUGCGGAACACCCCUUGGAGCAGGAGGAAUGCCAGAAAGCUCAAAUUUUCCCAACAAGUUGUUAUCACGAGUCCUUGUCCUUUCACCCUCAUAUACUUGGAUCAAGACACCGGGCUGAUUGUCUGAGUAGGUUGAGAACACUUGCUCCUUCUUGGUUGGAACAGUAGUGUUCCUUGGAAUCAACACAGUCAUCACACCUCCGGCAGUCUCCAAACCAAGGGACAGAGGAGUGACAUCCAGAAGCAAUAGAUCCUGCACCUUCUCAUUACCCUCACCGCUCAAGAUGGCAGCCUGCACGGCGGCACCAUAAGCUACAGCCUCGUCUGGGUUGAUGCUCUUGCAUAGCUCCUUGCCAUUGAAGAAGUCUUGCAACAACUGCUGUACCUUCGGAAUCCUAGUAGAGCCACCCACUAGCACAACAUCAUGGACCGUGCUCUUGUCCAUCUUUGCAUCUCUCAAACACUUCUCAACGGGCUCCAUACACUUUCUGAAGAGAUCCAUGUUAAGCUCUUCAAACCUGGCACGGGUAAUGGUUGAGUAGAAAUCAACACCCUCGUACAAAGAAUCAAUCUCAAUUGUGGUCUGAGCAGUGGAGGAGAGAGUCCUCUUUGCCCUCUCACAAGCAGUUCUCAACCUCCUAAGAGCUCUUGGGCUGCUGCUGAUGUCCUUCUUGUGCUUCCUCUUGAACUCUUGAACAAAGUGAUUCACCAUUCUGUUGUCGAAAUCUUCUCCUCCCAAGUGGGUGUCUCCGGCAGUUGCCUUCACUUCAAAGAUACCCUCUUCAAUUGUGAGCAGGGAGACAUCAAAAGUGCCUCCGCCAAGAUCGAAAAUCAAGACAUUCUUCUCCCCAACGCUGGUUGCCUUCUUGUCAAGACCGUAUGCAAUAGCGGCAGCGGUGGGCUCAUUGAUAAUACGCAAAACAUUAAGGCCGGCAAUGACCCCAGCAUCCUUUGUGGCCUGACGCUGAGAAUCGUUGAAGUAAGCCGGGACAGUAACAACGGCAUUCUUUAUAGAUGAGCCAAGAUAGGCCUCAGCAAUCUCACGCAUCUUGACGAGAACCAUGGAGGAAAUUUCUUCAGCAGCGAACUGCUUCUCUUCGCCCUUGUAUAUGACAACAAUCAUGGGCUUGUCACCGGGGCCGGGAAUGACCUUGAAAGGCCAGUGCUUCAUGUCACCCUGGACAGAAGGGUCAGAGUAUCUCCUACCAAUCAACCGCUUGGCAUCUGAAAAAUUAACCAAGCUCGUUUAAAAUACUAAUUUAUUAAUUACGCAUAACACAGAACAUGCUACCAAUCAAGCUAAAUCCUUUAAAUAUUAUCAAAAAUAAAAAUAACCAAACAGAUCAAGCUUCAAACACUACAAGCUCAGACAGCGUUUCUAAAAUUUCACCAUCAAUUAACAAGAAACUUAAAACCCAAAUUAUAAUUUUUAAGAGAUUAACUAAAACUCAAAGCCUUGAUCACCAAGUACAAUAUUUGAUAGUCCUUUAAUAUUAACUACAUAAAUCCUGCAAAUAACAAUAAAUAAAAAAAUCAACCAUUUUUUUUCUUUUUCAAUUCGCUAUAAAAAGAUUCAAGGCAGGCAAAAACCUCGCAUAAAAUUAGCUCCAUCGUAAUUUAUCACACCGAACCUCAAAAAGAGAAGUACUUUCAAGGAAAUUGAACUCUUUUUCUCAGAAAUUCAAGCAACAGAAAUCCAAAAACAGAAAAAUUUAAACCAGCAGCAAAUAUUGACAGUAAAUUCAUAAAAUCAGCCAUACAAGCAUAUAGAUCAGACAGUACAGAGUAAAAUUGAUUCAAAAAACGCAACAUGCAAGGCAACAAAAAAAAAAACAUCAUAACAUCAGAAAUAUCGCAAGAAAAGAGAAGAAUUUCGAUUCUUACCAAAGACGGUGUUGACGGGGUUCAUCGCUACCUGGUUCUUGGCCGCAUCGCCGAUCAACCUCUCCGUGUCAGUAAACGCCACGUAAGACGGAGUCGUCCGGUUGCCCUGAUCAUUGGCGAUGAUCUCGACACGAUCGUGUUGCCAAACACCGACGCACGAGUAAGUGGUUCCGAGAUCGAUCCCGAUCGCUGGCCCCUCUCCCUUUCCCGCCAUUGCAACCGCAGAGAUUCAAGCAAUCGAACAAGCAAAGAAUCGCAGAUAAAAUUAAAGAUCGAACCGCAGAGAAAAGUAAAGAGCUUCUGAGAUUUUUUGUGCAAUGGGCUGUUCGUAGUCACAGGUGUUGGAUUAAGAGUAGUGAAUUGGGGGGCUAUAUAGUAGGACACUUGUCUAGAAUGUUCGUGAGGAUAUUGACGAUUUUUGGUGGGAGGGUGUCCAGAAUGUUCGGUUUGAUAACGGCCGUUGGAUUCGAGUGUCGUGGACGGUGAUGAUUUGAUUUGCUUCGCGGGGUUGGUUUCUUUACUUUUUGAUCGAAACUUCGUGUCCACUCCCUUCGUCGUCGGAAAUUUGUCUUCUCGUCAAUUUCCUUGUUGGAAAACGUUUCACAGGACGGUGGCGUUUUGCGUGUGGGCUGUGACUUGACUUUUGGGCUUUCGAAGGGCUUUGAAUCCAAACGUGUUUGGGUCAGGCUGCACUGCAGUCCUUAUGGUAUGUGUUUGUGCAAUACUGUUUACAAUUGCUUUUGGACCAAAUGUAAUGGUUGAGUUAAAGCUUAAAAUUUAAGAAAAAUUAAUGAAAAUGAUUUGAAAACUUUAAGUUUUAACAAUAAAGAUAAAAUAAAGGGUAAAAUGAAUAGUAUCAGGAUUGACUUUUUAGUGUAAAAAUAUGAUUUUUCGUUAAAUUGAACAGUACUGUGAGCUUUUCGUUAAAGUUCUCUAAAAUUUAAUCUUUAUAUUAUAUCCCCCAAGGCAUUUCCAAUUAUUACUCUCUUUUAGUAUUUUUUGGCAUCAAUCCUUGGUAAAAUGCAAGUGAGUCAUGUGAAAGCACUUUAAGUGCUUUUAGGUCUCGUUUGGCAGUUCAGACUAUACUGACUAUUUCAGUCGGAUAGAAUAAUCUAUCACCGGAUUGUACUGACUAAAUUAAUUGAGUGUUUGGUGCAGUAUCAUACUAAUUACCGUAUUAUUUAUAAUCUAUUUGUUACCGUAUCCGAUACGAGAUCGGAUUAUAUUAUUUUUACUAAAAAAAUUUGAUGACUAAUGAAAAAAAGGAAAUAAUUUUUUGAUAAAAAUUCAGAACAACCAAAUGCAUCAAAUUAAAUAAAAAUAAUCUUGAUAUUGCAUUUUCUAUUUGUCCUUUAUUUAAAUCAAAUUAUUAAAAAAAAAAAAAAUCAUUUCUUCCCUAGAUCUUCUCCACUGCACAUGAUUCACCAUACCAAAUGGGAUGGACAAUAGAAUCAGCAUAAACCCUAUACCCAAUAGCAUGAGACUUCUUCCCAAAUGUUCUAUGCAUGUGAGAUUGCUCCCUGAUCUCUCACAUUUCUUUCCAUGAGGAGUCAACCCAAUUCCAACGAUGCUGCAGCGAUGUUGAGCAGUAGGUGAAUGCAGGCGGUGCUCCGACGACGUGGGUUUCAGUUGGAUCUAGUUCAAAUCUAGGAUCGAUGGCACGCGAACCCGUGCAGGCAGAGCCGGCCCUGCGGGUGUACAACAGGUGCCACCGCACAAGGCCACCAAUUCGGAAGGGCCCCUAAAUUUUCAUUACAUAUAUACAGAUGCAUAUAAAAUAGAUUAGAUGCAAAAAAAUAAUCUUAUCUAUGGUUCUAGCGUAAGCGAUUUAGCUCUUCUUUCUUCUAGCUCAUGUGUUGGGUUUGAAUCCCAAUGAUAUUGUUUUGUUAUAUUUUAAGCUUUUGCAAAUUUGUAAACAGGAGAUAAUUUGUUAUAUUUUAAGCUUUUGCAAAUUUGUAAACAAGAGAUAACAAAAAGGCAUUCAACGUGUAUCAAACUCAGGACCUUUGAAGGUAAGGAAAAACACCUGGCUAAUCAAACAACUUAUUUUUGUUGCAGUAACUUGUAAUAUUUUAGUUUUAUAGAUGAAAAAAUUGAAAAAAAAUAAUAAUAAAGAAAUAUAACAUUAAAAAAAAUGAAGGGCCUCCAUCUAAGUUUUGCACAUGGCCCCUCAUUACUCAGGGCCGGCCCUGCGUGCAGGUCCUACAACGAGGAACUGUAGAGGAGGGCGACGGCCGCGACGAGAAACUAAAGAGGAGGGCGACAACUAUAAAGUGCAAAAGGAAGAAGAAGAUGAAGAAGAAAUGAGAAGGAUGAAGAAGAACCUGGGGUUGAAGAUGGAAACAGAAGUGAGUUUGUAGAAUGAUGCGAGAAAGCCAGACCGAUAGAGGGAGGACACAGACCCGACUAAUAAUACAUAGGUUUUUGGAAGGAUAAAUAGCGGCCAUACACCGGAUAAAAGAUGUAGGCCUAGUUUAAGUAAUACGGGUACUAUUUAGUACAUAGUUGCACCAAACACCCGGCUCCAUAUAACUUAUCCUAUAUGAUUCCUUGUACAACUCACAAAUGAGGCCUUAGAACCCGAAAAUAUUUUCACUAAAAGUCAUUUCAUUCAUUUUAAAAGCACUUCCAAAAAAGCUCUUAAUAAAGCAUAAUGAUUGGAAAUGUUUGGGAGGGACAUUGCAUUUGAUCUAAAAGCAUUUCUAAACUGAUUCAUCAUGUAUUGCACAAACACACACCAUAUGAACUGUAGUGAAUCAAAUUUCACGCAACAUACUCUAUAAAUACCUAUGUAUUUAUUCAAACAUCCACACAAAAUUAGGAUAAUCUACAUAAUGUGUAGAAAUGAUUUUUCAUAUGUGUAUGAACUUGUGUUUAAGAAUGGGGUGGAUUUGUGUGAUUUUUUUUAUUAUUUAUUAGAAUUCUAAUAUUUUUAGCUUAAAAUAUAAAUAAAAAUAAAUUAGUAUAAUCUACGUAAUUUUUUUUUUAAAUUAUCGUGAAAAAAAUUAAGCUAAAAUUAAUUUUUAAUAAUUUGGGGCUUCAAUUAAAAAAAGCCAUAACUAUUGGAAGUAAAAAACUUUUUAUAGGUUAUACCUUAAAAUUUCAUGUUUAACUCACACCAUUGCACAUUGUUUUACAACUGAUUUUAUAAUGCUCAUUAGCGUUUCUUCUACAAGGAACUACUGCUACAGAACUAAUAGCCUCCAUAGCCUCAGCUGCUUUGAUGACUUAUAACUUCUCCAAAGCAGAUGUCAAAAUUGCCACAUAGACAUAUACUCGAACCGAGCCUUCAAUUUCCUAUACGGCGUUGAGUCAAUUGAAGACAAAGUAUUCUGUUGUCAAAUCCAUUUAGUAUUUUUCUAAUAAAUUUAAUGCAAAUAUAAUAAACGUUGUGUAUUCUAAGAAUUUGAUUGGUUGCCUACAUAAAUAGACCCCACAAAGUGAUUAAUUUUUUUUUAAAUGACAUUAUUGUUUAACAUAUCGGGUGGUAAAAAGAAUUACUCCACAAAGUGAUUAAUUUUUUUUAAAUGACAUUAUUAUUUAACAUAUCGGGUGGUGAAAAGAACAAUAAAGACAAAAUUCAAACAGGAAAUCUGAGAGAAUUUUGUAAAAAAAAAAAAGGCUUCUUUGGCAAAAUACCGGAAUACGAUAUUGAACAAAAUGACCAAAAUCACCAAACAUCCUACAUCUUGGAUUUUAGAAUCCCAUAAAAAAGUACCCAAUUCCAAACCUUAAACUAAGAAACAGAAAAAUACGUUCACCACUUUCUUCAAAGCAAACACUUUGGAUCAACAAAAACCGCUUACUCAACUUCUUCGAUAAUAAUAUUGGGACCAGCACCGCUGCCAGCAGCAGGAGGAAAGUUCCCCCAGCACCCUGUUCCCUGGUACAUCUCGGCACUGAUCGAAUUGCAGAUGCUCUCCAGCUCCUUCUUCUUUUCCUCAAACUCGUCAGCCUCAGCAAGCUUGUUUCCGUCAAGAAAAAGAAAGUAUCUCGAUUCUUACCCAGGACGGUGUUGACGGGGUUCACGGCGACCUGGUUCUUGGCCGCAUCGCCGAUCAGCAUCUCCGUAUCAGUAAACGCCACGUAAGACGGCGUCGUGCGGUUACUCUGAUCAUUAACGAUGAUCUCGACGCGGUCGUGUUGCCAAACACCGACGCACGAGUAAGUAGUUCCGAGAUCUAUACCGAUCGCUGGCCCCUCUCCCUUUCCCGCCAUUGCAACUGCUGAGAUUUAAUCCAUCAAACAAGCAAAGAACCGCAGAGAAAAGUAAAGAGCUUUUGAGAUUUUUGGGCGAUAGGUAAAGAAACUUAGCUAGGAACAAAUCUCAGUUUGUAAAAAUUUCCCGCCUUUUUGUAAGGUAAUGCUAGGGAGACUAAAUUUACAAAUUAAAUUAUGUAUUAUCAACAAAAAUGAGUACCUUUAUUCAUGUUUAAGUAAUAAAUCAAUUAUCAACUUCUAUGUUCUUUAGUUUUCAAAAUUUAGUAUACAAAUUUAGUCUUUCAAACAUUUCUCUUUUUUGCAUGUCCAUGUGGAAUACCAUUUUCCCAUCAUAGGUAGGGUUUUUUUUUCUUUUCCCGUUCACGCAUAAAGACAUUCUUAUAGUAACAAUACGCUAAGGUACAAUGUCUAAUUUUAAUAUUUGUACUUAUCAAGAGACAUUCUUUCAUUUUAAUUUUUUUUAGUUGAAAAUUUGUAUGAACUUUUACACCGUUAUAUUUAAAUUAAGAUACUGCAAGCCUCUUAACUUGAAAAGAGAAAAACGCAUAAAGCCUAUUAAACCAUUAUUUAACUGAUAAAAUAGUAUAUAAUAAAGAAGUUAGUAGAAAACCUAUCGUAAAUACAAACAAAAUGACUUGCACCAAAGCCUAGUAAACCAAAAAGAAAUGAUGAGAAUGUAGAGAGGAUAUUAAUAUUUGUAAAUGUAAAGAACUAAGGGGGUGUUGUUGCGCAGGACUAUCUCAGACUGGACUAGCUUUAAGGACUAAGCUGGACUAGUUUAGACUAGACUAAGCUGGACUAACUUAGUGAAGCGUUUGAUGCAGUGUUGGACUAAGAAGUUGGAUAAUAACAAAUUCUAAUAUUAUAAUAUUUUAUUAUGAUCUAGGUGACCGGAGAUGACGAGGAGUCUAUCGGGAGUGGUUGUUGAGCAUGAUGAGGACGAGAGAGGAUAGUCUUAGCUAGUCCCAUGAUUAUUGGGGGUCUCGCUAAGACUUCUUAGUGAAGGAUUUUGUCCAUGUUAGUCCCCUUUAGUCUCAUUAAUGUUAGUCCCAGCAUGGAACAAACACAGUAUUGGACUAACAGCUAGUCCAAUCCAGUCCAAUCCCACUUAGUGAGGGCAAACAAACGCCCCCUAAAUGAAACGUACACCCAUUACUGGUCCAAAUCUGUAAUCCUUAUUUUAGAUUGCUAAAAUGAAACUGAAAAUGAACGAUGCUAAGUAUACAUGUAUGCUGUCUUUGCUUGCGAAACUCAAGCAAUUUGCUAAAGCUGAGAAACUCUAUACUGAAUAGAACUCUAUUUCGGAGACACUAGGGUUUCAAAUAUACUCCUUGCAGCAUACAUCAAAGAAAACCAAACGAAAGUACUGAAACCUUUUGUUUAUACCAUAUUUAGGGCCUUGUAUUUAGACCUCGUAUAAAUACUCAGGAGACUUAAAUGUAAUUAUGUAAUAAAGGAAGGGGUAAAUAUGUAAUUAGGGGAGGAGCCCUUAUUCUAUAAAAGGGCCUCCUCACCCUCACAAACGGGGGGGGGGGGUCUCUCCUCAUCCCUCUCAAAGCUCUCACUCUCAGAGCUCUCUCUCCCUCAUUUCUCAGAGAAAUAUAAUACAAUCUGUGUUGACGUAGCCCAAACCUUGGGGUGAACCACGAUACAUCUUGUGUCAUUUACAUUACUUGCAGAUUCACGGUCGGAUUUACGUUGUUCCAAGACCUCCGGUUUUGUGCAUCAACAUUUGGCGCCGUCUGUGGGAAACGACACGAAAAGUUAUGUCGGUUCUCUCUCAAAUUUUCAUCUCACCACCGUGAAACCCUCACAACCUCCACCAUGAAUCUGUAGAAACCCAAUAACCAAACACCUAGAGAGUCACUGCAAAACCCAUGUCUUCCGUUCCAGCUCCCGGUCACGGCAGAAGCGAUGGAAACACAACCACCACCUCAUCUCUCUCUCUCUACAUUUUCUGUGCAGAUCUUGAGACCUAAAUCAGAACAUAAGCAUCAAUGUUACAAACUAAACCUGCAUCAGAAAAUAGAGCCUCAGUGCUUCUCAGCCGUUGGAUCCAUAGCGAAGCUCACCAGCUUCACCAUUUUGCUCGCCUUCUUGCUUUCCUGCUUCACUUUUGCUUCUACACAAACUCAAAAUCCCAAAUGGAUUUCAAGCUCCAAGCUCUGCUGUGCCUUGUAGUUCUUCAAGUUCUGGUCUUCUUCUCAAAGGAAGCAGAAGCAGCAGAACACAGCCAUGGCAGCAACUUGAGAGUCCACAAGAAGUAAGUGAGCAGCUGCAAUUUGUUCCAAGGCAAUCAAGGUUUUCACCUACCUUCGAAUCUGCCAUCUUAGUUAGAAGUCCACAAUCAAAUGAACUCCGAAUCCUCGAAUUCAACCGCUGCAGUUCUCUGGGCUCGAGGAUAGGUUGUGGCAGAAAUAACGAAAAAAACAGCCACUGAUGAUGCUGCAAACUCGCCACGGCCACCAGUGGAAAACCAACGAAAAAGGCCAAGAUGCGGAGGUUAGUGCAUCAACACACUUUGUUCCUUAAAGUCAAGGUCCGAGGAGCUGGCUGCGGGAGGAAGAAUGGGGCUGAUCUGGUUUGGAAGGAGUGGCCCAGAUCAUGUCGACAGAGGUAACAGUUUCUUCUGGCAGCCAAAAUUAAAGGUCCACUUCUCUUUCCUCUUUACACCAAUCACCAAAGUCAUCAUCCAUGGCUGCCUCAUCCUCUUCUGCAACCUUCAAGAAGGUCUCUUUUUGCCACCCUUAGCUUGCACAGCCCGCAACCAUCUGCCGCCUACUGCACCACCAUCUUCUCAAGUAGACAGCCACAUCCGGUUUCGUCAGGUCCAUACACGUGUCGCUGCAACUACAGACGCAAAUGGAGACGCCACUGUUUCACGUAGUGAACGGCAGCAAGUUCCAUGACUAUGAGCCGGUGAAGAGCCCACCUGGGCUGUUGCUGGUGUAUGUGCUGUUAUCAUCAUCAUCUCAUUAAUUUUGGAGAAGGUCCUACACAAAGUUCGAAAAUUCUGCACCUAAAAAGAAAUGGAGGGCACGACAAAAGAAGAAGAAAAUGGAGGAAAGGAAUAAAGAAAGAAAAAGGUGUUAGUGGAAUUGUAAACAAUUCCACAAAGAAGUGGAAGACUAUUCUGCACCUAAAAAGAAAUGGAGGGCACGACAAAAGAAAAAAAAAAUGGAUGUCUAGAGAAAAGCAGAAAGUAAAAGCAAAAAGCAAAAGAAGAUAUAAAGAAGUAGACAUAAUUGCAGUGGUGAUGACAUGUAGAAAAGGGAAUUAUGGGCGUGACCCAUUGAGCAGAGGGUGGGCUUUAUUUUUGAAUGAUGUGAUUUAUUUUUUUUAUCUCUAAGAAAUAUCUGUAUAAACCACAUCAGAGGGUAAUAAUACAAAAAAAAAAAAAAACGGCAAAGCCCAAAAUUAAUGGGCUGGCAUGUCAUGGAGGGCGAAUGCCCAUAAGCCCAAAAUAGCACCAACCAGGUGACCAAAAGUAUGCCCAGUACUCCAAAAAUUAUUCGGCAACUUGCCUCUAUUAUCACCAACCAGGUGACCAAAAGUACGCCCAGUACUCCAAAAUUAUUCGGCAACCUGCCGCUAUUACCACCAACCAGGUGAUGAAAUGUACAACCCGUACUCCAAUAUCAUUUGGCAACCAACCAUUCAUACCACCAACCAGGUGAUGAAAUGUACAAACCGUACUCUAAAAUAAUUUGGCAAUUAGCCAUUUAUGCCACCAACCAGGUGAUCAAAAGUACACCCAGUACUUCAAAAUUAUACAUGAGCACUACUCAUGUCAUUCGUACAUAGACAUUCAUGAGCAUCACUCAUAUCAAUCAUACAUAAACAUUUAUGAGCAUCACUCAUGUUAACAUUCAUGAGCAUCACUCAUGUUAACAUCCAUGAGCAUCACUCAUGUCAAUCAAACAUUCAUGAGCAUCACUCAUGACAAUCAGCUUCAAAAGUUUCAUUUACAAAGCCUUAGCUUCAAAAGAGUCAUUUACAAAAGCUCUAGCUUCAAAAGCUUCAUUUACAGAGCUCCAACUUCAAAAGCUUCAUUUACAAAAGCUCUAGCUUCAAAAACUUCAUUUACAGAGCUCCAGCUUCAAAGCUUCACUUGCAAAGCUUCACCUACAAAGCUUCAGUGCAUGGUCUACAAAGACCGCCUCCGAACAACCGCCAUUUCAGCCCAUACAUGGAUUGAAUUUGAAGUCUCCAGCCAACAUCGUCUAUUGACCGAAGACUUGGGGGACUACAUUAUGUACCAUAUAUUAGGCCUCAACUGGGCCUUAUGAAAAAUACUUGGGGGACUCUAGCCCAUUAUUCAUGUACUGAGGAGCGAGCCCUUAUUUUAUAAAAAAGGACUCCCUCACCAUCAUUAGAGAGCAACGCCGCCAGCUGAACAACCGUCUCGCCGCCAGCAUCAACUCUAGCCUAUUAUUUAUGUAUUGAGGAGCGAGCCCUUAUUCUAUAAGAGGAACUCUCUCACUUUAAUUAGAGAGCACCCAUUAUUCAUGUACUGAGGAACGAGCCCUUAUUUUAUAAAAGGGACUCCCUCACCUUCAUUAGAGAGCAACGCCGCCAGCUGAGCAACCGUCUCACCGUGAGCAUCACUCCGAACCCAUAUUUAUGUAUUGAGGAGCAAGCCCUUAUUCUAUAAAAUAGACUCCCCUCACCACCAUUAGAGAGCAUCAACUCUAACCCAUCAUCCAUGUAUUGAGGAGUGAGCCUUUAUUCUAUAAAAGGGACUCCCUCACCUUCAAACGCUGCAAGCCGAGCUAACCAAGGCAACAUAAGCCACGAGCCGAGCAGCCUCGCAGCGUGUGCUACUUCUAGUUGAGCGUCAUUUUAGAUUGAGCACUGCCUCAUAUCGAACAUCAGUUCAAGACAGCAUCUAGUUACUUCGGCCCACACAUGGACUGAAUUUCAAGUCUCCAGCCAAAAGACUCUCUUGACUGAAGACUUGGGGGACUACUGUUUAUACCAUAUUUAGGGCCUCGUAUUUAGACCUCGUAUAAAUACUCGGGGGACUUAAAUGUAAUUAUGUAAUAAAGGAAGGGGCAAAUAUGUAAUUAGGGGAGGAGCCCUUAUUCUAUAAAAGGGCAUCCUCACCCUCACAAACGGGGGGGGGGGUCUCUCCUCAUCCCUCUCAAAGCUCUCACUCUCAGAGCUCUCUCUCCCUCACUUCUCAGAGAAAUAUAAUACAAUCAGUGUGGACGUAGCCCAAACCUUGGGGUGAACCACGAUACAUCUUGUGUCAUUUACAUUACUUGCAGAUUCACGGUCGGAUUUACGUUGUUCCAAGACCUCCGGUUUUGUGCAUCAACACCUUUCAUAGUCGGAUGGAGCAAAAUAUACUUCUUUCGUAUUUUCCCUAUGAAACCAACUUCAAAACUGAUAUACAAAUUAAAAAAUUUCAAACAUUCAAUUACCCAAAAACCACAGUGGUGGAAAUCAAGGCCGGCCCUAAGAAUUUAAGGGCCCUAUGCAAGAUUUAGAUGGAGGCCCUUCAUUUUUUAAUACUGUAUUUUCUUUGUUAUUUUUUUUUUCAAUUUGUAUCUAUAGAAUUUAAAUACUACAAAUUAGAGCACCACUUUGAGUGGACAAUUGAGUGUUUCUUGUCUUGAAAGGUCUUCAGUUUGAAAUAUGUUGCAUGGUUUUUUGUGUAAAACUUAACAACUUUUUAAGUUAAUAAAUUUGCAAAACUUAAAAAUAGCAUUUUUUUUCAAUUUGUAUCCAUAAAAUUUAAAUACUACAAAUUAGAGCACCACUUUGAGUGGACAAAAGUGUUUCUUGUCUUGAAGGGUCUUCAGUUUGAAAUAUGUUGCAUGAUUUUUUGUGUAAAACUUAUCAACUUUUUAAGUUAAUAAAUUUGCAAAACUUAAAAAUAGCAAAAUGGUUCUACAAGGACUUGGACUUGGGCCAUGUACAAGAAGAUAGAAUGCCUACACCACUAGCACUAGUGUGGUGAUUAUUAUUAUUUUGCACAUUUAAGUAUAUAAUAGGUAUCUGUUUACAUGUAAAGAAACUUUGGAGGCCCUUCCGAAUUUGGGGCCUUGUGCGGUGGCACUUUUUGCACACUCUCAGGGCCGGCUCUGGUGGAAAUGAAUUGAGCCAUUGCAUGACAGCGUGUUUUCGAACCCCAUCGGUGACUAAUCUAAUAAAACUUAUCGUUUGACAAAAAAAAUUCAAUUACCCAGAAACCAAAAAUGGAAAUUUUAUUAAAUUAAAUUAAAAUAAACUCAUUGGCAAAAGGAACAUAAAAAUGAAAAUUUCUACUAAAUUAAUUAAUACAAACUAAUGCGCAAGAGGAGCAUAAACAACCUUUUGAAUUAAUCUAAAGAGAUACAAACUAAAAAUACCGGUUGUGGAGCAAAAAAUAAUCACAAGGCGACACGUGGAUUCUUGGGUAAAAGAGGACAAAAAUACCCUUGAGGCAUACUGGGAUUCCUACGCGCGAGCAACGGGCAAUCAUCCCUCAACCAAGUCAAAAGUGCCCAAAAUAGGUAACAAUUUAAAGCCUAUUUCAUCAAAUCCUUUCUAUAAGGUAAUUCCUAAAACCUAAUUUAUUCUAUAUAUUUUGUAUUCCAUUAUUUAGCUAAUCAAUUAGCUAAAUGAUAUUUUCCUUUCAUAUUCCCUAAAAAUUGAUUAAUUAAGGGAUUAAUUACCUAAUCAAUCCCUUAAUUAUCAAUUAAAACACCCAUUCACACCUAAAACUACUAAGAGGUCGGCUACCUCCCUUUUCCUAACCUUUUUCACUUUUCUCCAUUUUAUUACCCCAUUUAUACAAAUAAUCAAUUUUGUAACUCCUAAUUAAACCUAAAUUAAACCCAAAAAACCCUAGCCACCUCCUAUCCCUAUAAAUAUACUCUCAUUCUCACCAAAAAAGCCAAUUCCAACACUUUGGCAAAAAUCCCAAAAUUCUCUAAACACUCUUUCUCUCUAAAUUCUAACUUUGGCAUCGGAGGUUCUUCGGCCAAACCCCCCCAUUCAUCGAGGGCGCACGAGGCUCUUGGCCUUAACCUAAGGUGUUAAUUGUUUUGUAGGUGCAAAAUUGUCCAAGAUCAAGGAGGAAGAAAUUUGCAUCCACAAAUUGGUGCUUUCAUUGAGAGUUGAAAUCCAUACUCGUAGAAGACUCUCGCACAAAAAGGUUUUUUCUUUAUUUUCUAGUCCAUUUGAAUAUUUUUCAUACGUUCUUAUUAUUAGAUUUUUUUACUUGCAAAGGUUCUUUGAUAAAACGUAAGCAAAAUAUGAUGGCUAGAAAUUUAGAAAAUCCACAAGUGAAAAUUCUAAUGUUCAAGAAAUGGGAUUGCGGAGAUCCGUGAGGCUAAAUGCGACAAUAAGUGGAGCAGCACCACCACCACGAGUUUCCACCAUGGGAACCACCACGGUGGCAGGGUCUAUGGUGCCUUCACCACGGCUCGAGCCAUGCCAUCCAAGGCUCACGGCCCAAGUCGUGCCAUCCAAGUUUGCACGGGCCCAGGCCCAAGCCUCGCAUUCGCAUGCAUCACAUACUAAGCAGCCUGCUCCAGCCAAGCAACCUGCUCUCGCGGCCCAGCCUGCUCUUGCCAAGCAACCUACUCUCACGGCCCAUCCUGCUCCAGUGGGUUUCCAAGUAGCCCAAGUCGGCCCAAGACUAUCUUAACCAUCCGGACCUACCAUCGAGCCGGGGGCAUUCUCACCAUAUUUUUUCAUGGAUUUGACAUUUCCCAACUUAAAUCUCGCGCCCGGAGUCUACCACCCUUCCACUGCCCAAGGAGGCGCAUUCCUUCCAAGCUUUUCCAAUCCAAAUGGCGAACAACACUUGUCUCGACAAGUCAUAGAGUUGACGAGCGCCCUUGCACAACAGACAACCUUGGUGAAUCAACUUUUGCAACGCAUCGGGAUCCAACGUGCCCGGACGAGGUAUCCCGAAGUAGGACAAAGGCAGACAGACCUUUUCAGCAGUGUCUCGGUAAGCAGCCACUCGACUAGCCACAAGCCGAACGUUUGGGCAGUGUACAUUCCCGUCUUAGCGCGCGGAGAAGCAUGCACUCUCGACUAGGCCCACGGAUGAGCAUACAUUCACAGUUGGGGUCAUACUCCGAUAGUCAACAUGAGUAACCUUCCAGAAAAAUUGUCCAUUCGUGGCUAAGCCCACAAAGAGCAUCAUCCACCUCACAUCAGAGUAGGCAACACGACGGACGGAGAGAAGCAGUCACUCAAUCCAGCUCAAGUUCAACCAGCAGCCUGGGAAAAACUCGUUCGCCUGCUAGGAACGCACCACAUGCACUGCAUCCGCAACAUAGACGAGCCAAACACAUGGAAGAGCAGCCUAGACCAGCAAGUCAUGGCUGGGGGGCAGCCGAGAGCUCCGCUACCCUAACAAAGGCAAAUUCAGGAAGAAGUAGAGAGACUAUUGACCAAGCGAUUGCAUGAUUUCCAACGCAACGAGGUCACCGACGAGGCACUACGACGGAACAUGACCAACAUAAGCAGGUCACCCUUCACAGACGAGAUCGAGCAGGCAGAGCCUCCACGCGAGUUCAGCAUGCCACAUUUCACAUAUUUCAAAGGGGAUGAAGACCCAGAGAGACACUUAAAGCGCUACCGAAGCGCAAUGAUCCUUUAUUGAAACAACGAUGAUCUCAUAUGUAAGAUAUUCGCCACCACUCUACAAGGCGAGGUGCAAGAUUGGUUCUACACCCUACCGCCAUAAUCCAUCCAGAAUUUCUACGAACUUUCUUUGGUUUUCACCAAAGAAUAUUCAUCUUAUCGCCCGAUCAAAAAGAAGGUUGACCAUUUGUUCGACAUCAAGAAGAACCCAAAGGAAUCGCUUCGCGACUAUGUGAGGAGGUUCAAAGUAGAGAAGGCAAAAAUAGUCGGAUGCAACGACUCGAUAGCUAAAGCAGUCUUCCAAAAAGGACUUCCAGCAGACCACCCGCUAUUCAAAAAAUUGAUCAUGAAAGAAGAUCUAACUCUAGCAGACUCUUUUACUUUGGCAGAGAAGCAUGCAUUUUGGGAUGAGGCUUGCCAAUGCACAUUCAAGGACUUGAAGAAGUACCCGACAUCACUUCCAUAGAAGCAGCGGAUGACUUAUUCGCAUGUUUGACGGUAUCUAAAGUAGCAAUAAGCUCUACCAUCAUGCGAGAAGAGCUGGGGGCCCGACUACCUGUAUUCUACAGUUCGAUGCUAUUAAAAAUUUAAAAGCUGACUUUGGCGAUAAUUGUGUAACCCAAAAGCUUAAGUUUUACCUUCAAACGCAAGCAGUCAUCAUCAUGACGCACUAUUCCACCGAAUCCAAACCGACAACGAUAAAGGCGUAGACCCUGCCAGAUGCAAAGUUUUCUGACGAACGUAAGAACUCAGCCUAACGACGCCCCGAAGGCAGUCGAGCACACUUUGGCCACACCUGCUCCCUCAAUGGAGAUUUUUGGGGUUUGCAUGUCGACGGCGCAUCCAACUACGAAAGCUCGCGAGUAGUCGUGGUUCUUGCCACCCCAGACAUUUCAAUGCUCAAGCAGGCGAUCACUCUAAACUUCAAAGCAUCUAACAACGAAGCAGAGUACGAAGCCCCACUAGCAGACCUUCAACUGACAAAAGACUUGGUGGUGAACAAGCUUUCCAUUCAUUCCGAGUUCUAGCUAAUCACCAGCCAGACUACCAGGGGCAAAUGCAUGAUGAUCGUGGAAACCGACUACUUCACCAAAUAAGUAGAAGCAGAGCCCAUGACGAUCAUGUUUCAGACAGACAUAGAGCGCUUCAUAUGAAGGAGUAUCAUUUGUCGAUUUGGCAUCCCUUAAUCUAUCGUCACCGACAACGGCCCGUAAUUUAUGGGCAAAGAUUUGGUGAAGUUAUUCAAAAAAUAAGGCAUCAAGUAGCACAUGUCUACGCCAAGAUAUCCUCAAGGCAAUAGGCGGGCCAAAGCAUCUACUAAGAUGAUCCUCGACUGCCAUAAGAAAUCCCCCACCAAUAAGAAAAGAAAAUGGCCAGACGAACUCCAAGGAUGUCUAUGGGCAUAUCGCACAACCAAAAGACGAGCAACCGAAAGUAGAUGGCCACAAGCUUAGAUCUGGCAGAAGAGAGUCGCGAACAGACUAUCAUUCGCAUUGCAGCCUACCAGCAUCAGCUCCUCUCCAGCUACAACAAAAGGGCCAAGAUCCGGCAGUUCCAACCCGGAGAUCUGGUCAUAAGAAAAACCUUAAUCACUGCCAGCAGAAAAGGCUCCAAAAAUAUGGAUCCCAUAUGGGAAAGUCCGUACAAGAUCAGCAGAGUAGGUGGCAAGAACAAUUACACCCUCGCCACCAUAAAACGACUAAAAGAUCAAAAAACAGUGGAACGCCUACAAUCUGAGGAAGUACCAUGUGUGACAUUUCGCUACAUCAAAGCCCGAAGACUCAAGCAGCUCGACGGGCACUACCUCACCAGCCGAGGAUUAUCCAGUUGUUAUGCAGUUAUUACCUUACAUCUAAGUUCUCGUUCGUUUAACUCAUUUUUCAAUGAGGAAUUCAUAAGUAAUCACGACUUGGCUUGGUUGCAUGCUUACAACAACUGAUCACUCCUGCACUUCAAAAGAAGACCGCGCCCUUCUUAGGGACUUACUGCAGGAAUUGCGCCCCCCGAAGGACCAACCAUGCUCUUCAGUGCGAGAGGGUAAACUAAUUGCUCUCCAACGCGAGAGGGUAAACCAAUUCCCCGACACCCACAUGGGUCAGCUCUCCAAGAACGGGAGGAUAAACUCUACACUCUGAAUAUCCAGACGUGGAUGAGCCGGGCUGCCCUAGUAUAACUAGAUGCACGAUGGCUUGCGCUGGGAUUCCUAGAAGUAGCCGCAAUGGUCUUUUUCAAGGCUUAGCUAACUGAAGGAUUUUGGGUCUCUUGGCCUAAUCCGUGGGGAACCGGGCCCUAGAGACGGAGAGGGCACAUUACACAGUACAUCCGAUGGACGACUGCCCUGGAAUCCUAAAGCUGCUACCGAGUGCACUAAGGUAGCCUACGGAUUCCAGAAGACUGCCUACGGCUUGCCCUUCGAGCAGUAAAGCUGCACUAGACUUAUACAACCACACAUUCUUGUGAAAGGUUAAACAAGCUAGCACGCAUAUACGAAGUUUUAUCCACUGCCGACAUGCUACGUAGUCGAUAAGCUUCACCUCUGCUAAGCGCGGAACAACCUACACCAAGUCCUAAAGUGUUGUGAUACUUGCUACGCAACCUACGGAAUUGGAGAAAGUCAAGGUUAACAGCCUAGUGGUUACGCGGACUUGUCUGCUUCUAUAAGUAAGGCAUCCGGCUGCCAACCCAAUGGCUAACAACUUUGCAAAGUUCUACACCAAAACCUACGGCUGCAUAGGCUACAUGAGCAUGUCUGCUUAUAAAAAAAUAGCAUGCUUGCCACUGGUCUAUCAAGUCUAAAGGUUAGGGCAUGAACAAAAGAAGCAAAAAUGAAGAAAAGCUAAGGAAAACAUGUUUAUAAACGACUAGCAAAGGCCGAAAGAGUUCAAGCAAAACAAGAGCUACAAAGAAAAUCUUAAAGGUUGCCUAGAUGACUACACUUUAGCAGCCUGGACAUCCGACGACUAUUCGGUCGCCACAUCUUCAGCAGCCGCGAAGCUCUUAGCAGCGGCAUCACCCCCGACUGCUCCAGCCUGGGCACCAACUUCUCCAACUACUUCACCAAUACCAACAUGGACGCGCUGCAGCUCAUCCACUUCUUUCUUCAAACUUUCGUUGAUAUUCAGUACACCUUGAAGUUCCAACAUUUGGGGUUCAAGCCUAUCGACGAUUCUCUUGAAGUGGAUCACUUGAUUAUAAGCAGCAAUCAACUUUUCAUCCUUUGCAUAAGCAGGGAAAGAAGUCUUUGGUUUUUUCUAAGCCGUUAUCUCUUGAACAGGCAGGGAAGAUCCCUUUUCCCACCUUCACAUGCAGCAGGAUCCACAGCGGUGAUUGGACGAGCCAAUGCAUCCGCCUUGAUCCUAUUCACCUCUUAUUUUGGGAGCAGCCCAUGUUUGUCCUGACGAAGAGAGUUAAAGUAGCCAACGCCAUUCAUGGUACCUAGCAGGGGAGUUCAACCCAACAUUCCAGCAGCUCAUGAGGCCCACAACCUUUUCAUUUCUCUCAAUCACCUGCCUAGCUCGCGUCAUGUCUAAAAGCCCAAAAAGACAUGAGCCAUGUGAUUCGCCUAGCACUGCGCCACAUCGCCACAAUCCGUGGCCUUAGCCAUACAAGCUGCCUUUGGUUCUAGCCAAGUCGAGCAGUUUAAAGCAGUGGUCCCUGCCACAAUACCUCAUCGGCCCAUGUCGAGCCGACUCCUGGCCCAUGCUAGCCAACAUGCCGCACCACCCCGACGGCUGCCCCAAGGUAGCACCAUCCAAGAAGAAGACAAGGAAAAUUAAUUUUUUCUUACCUCAGUGCGGCAUGAAGAAGACGAAGAAAGCAACGAAAGACGGUCCUUUGCACGUGCAAGAUGUAGAAAAUUGCUAGAGGAGGGGGAACAAAUAUCCUCUAAGCUAUCUCUCUCUUGUAGGAUACAAUAAAUCGUUCUCCAAAGUUGAUUUAAUAACCCACUUAAGGUGGACUUAAAUAGGAUUUGAGAGAAAUUUAUUUCCCUUUCCUAGAAGGAUCUAAUUUCCUAUUAAAGAGAGAAUCUACAUCAAAAUAGGAAGCAGUCCCACGUUUCCUAAAGCAAGAUGAUCUCUACACCUGCUGCAAUUUCCUACGAGCAGCCCAACAGGUGUGGGGGCAUUUGUGGAGCAAAAAAUAAUCACAAGGCGACACGUGGAUUCUUGGGUAAAAGAGGACAAAAAUACCCUUGAGGCAUACUGGGAUUCCUACGCGCGAGCAACGGGCAAUCAUCCCUAAACCAAGUCAAAAGUGCCCAAAAUAGAUAACAAUUUAAUGCCUAUUUCAUCAAAUCCUUUCUAUAAGGUAAUUCCUAAAACCAAAUUUAUUCUAUAUAUUUUGUAUUCCAUUAUUUAGCUAAUCAAUUAGCUAAAUGAUAUUUUCCUUUCAUAUUCCCUAAAAAUUGAUUAAUUAAGGGAUUAAUUACCUAAUCAAUCACUUAAUUAUCAAUUAAAACACCCAUUCACACCUAAAACUACUAAGAGGUCGGCCACCUCCCUUUUCCUAACCUUUUUCACUUUUCUCCAUUUUAUUACCCCAUAUACAAAUAAUCAAUUUUGUAACUCCUAAUUAAACCUAAAUUAAACCCAAAAAACCCAGCCACCUCCUAUCCCUAUAAAUAUACUCUCAUUCUCACCAAAAAAGCCAAUUCCAACACUUUGUAAAAAAUCCCAAAAUUCUCUAAACACUCUUUCUCUUUAAAUUCUAACUUUGGCAUCGGAGGUUUUUCGGCCAAAGCCCCCCCAUUCAUUGUGGGCGCGCGAGGCUCUUGGCCUUAACCUAAGGUGUUAAUUGUUUUGUAGGUGCAAAAUUGUCCAAGAUCAAGGAGGAAGAAAUUUGCAUCCACACGGGUCUUGCCAAGAAUCAUGCAAUUCAACACCAUCAAAUUAAUCGUCCCAUUAGGUAAAGUUUCCGGCUUUGCAACAAAACUCUAUAGUGGUGGAGCCAAAAAACCAGAUUAGGAAGGGCCUUUCAGCCAUAGAAAGAAAUGAGCCUUUAAAAUAUAAUUAAUGACGAGAAAUUAAAGGUUUUGUUUUUUGUAUUGGCAUGGAAAAUUCUAAUAAAACAAGAAUGGUAGAACUUUACAUUUUGUAUAGAAAACUUAGUAUUGAAAUAAUUAUAUCAUAUGAACAAAACUUGUUUCAAGCUUUGAUAAAAAUAAAAAAAAUAAAAAAUAGAUUCGAACAAAAAUCUAAGAUCAUGACUUAAUUAGAUUUUUCUCUAGACUAUUUAGGCCUUUGAUUUAUAUCAACUAGCUAAAAAAAAGUAUGAUUUUUAUAUGGUAAAACGUAAGGCAAAUUAUAACCAAAAAAAAGGAGGGCUUAGUUUUAUUAUGGGGAAAAAUAAGGCAAAGUAUAAGGAUUUUGCUUCCAAUUUAAUCACAGAUUGGAAAUGUGUUCAUCUGUAAUUUGCUAGCAGCAAGAGUUGUUGCUGAUUUUUUCAGCAGUCAAGUUUUGUUCCAAAAAAAUAAACAUCUAAACAGUGUCGGAGCACAAGCAAGUCUCCAACCGAGACCAUUUGGAUAUGCAAAAAGCCAAAAUCCAAUGAGCUACAUGCUCAUUUUGGUAAAAGCUUGCAGACAACAUAUAUAAGACCUGAAAUUUCAAGAUAGGCCAUCACUGGUCUCUAUCUGGCUCCGCCACUGAAACUCUACAAAUAUAAAAAUCAUAACCCAAUUUAGACGAUAAAUUUAUGGAAGCAUAUAAAUAGAGAAAUAAUUUGCUAUUUUAAAAAAUUAUAUCCAUGUAAUCAUAUAAUAUGUAGCAAACCUCGUUGAGAAGAAAUUGAGAAUUUUGUAAGAUGAAGACUUUGUGCACAUUUAUUUAUUUAUUUUUUCUGAUUUCCUAGAAUGAAAUGAGAUUUGGGGGAGGAUAUAUCGGCAGUUUAGUUUGAUAGAAGCUACUUUUUGCUCAACGUGGGUGCCGUUUUUCCAUUUUUCACAUUCAAUUUUUUUAUUGAGGGUUCAUCACGUCCAUUUUUUAAUUUUAUUUUCAUGUUUACAAUCAUCCUGCGUUUUUUUUAAUUGUAUUUUCUUAUUAUUAUACAUUUUAAUGGGUGGGAUCUUAAUCUCUCUCCUAAAAUGGAGGAGGAGUGGGGUUAAUAUCUCCUUAAUCAGCAUGUCUUAAAUGAAAGAGCAGUAUGGCUAAUCUCUCCUUAAUCGGCAUGUCUUCCCCCUUUUUUUUUAUUUUUUUUCCUUUUUUUCUUCUAAUAAAAGGAAUUAAAUAUUUUUUUUCUUUACACAAUUGCCCUUACUUUUUUUUUUUCAUAUUCUAGAAUAUGCCCACAAACAAAUUGUGUGGACAUUUUUACUUUUGUUUUUAAAAUUGAGGGAGAGAGGAAGAGAGUGAAAGAAAAACGUGGGAAUGGGGAGAGAUGGAUAGAGGUUUAUUUUUUUAUAUAUAUUUUUUUAAUUAGAGAUGAUAAAAUUACAUGUAUGUGAUGUUUAAACAAAACAAAAAAAUAAAUUUUUGUUUUAUGAAAUUAUGUUAUUGUCCUUAACUUUUUUUGUAGUGAUAAAAACAAAUGUCUUUUUCACAUUUUUUGGGUUGAUAAAGAAGGUUUCAAUAAUAUAGUACAUAUUUUGUAUCAAUAUGAUAAGUCGGUUUACAAGCAUUUUUAGUCCAAGUGUAAUGGUUGGGUUCAAGCUUAAAAUUUAAGUUUUAAAUCCCCCGAAAGCAUUUCCAGUCAUUAGGUUUUAUUAGGUCUUGGUGAGAAAAAAAACACCAUUGGCCCAGAUUCCGCCCACAAUUUAAUAUUUGUACUUAUCAAUUGACAUUCUUUCAUUUUAUUUUUUUUAGUUGAAAAAUUUUAUGAACUUUUGCACCGUUAUAUUUAAAUUAAGAUACUGCAAGUCUCUUAACUUGAAAAGAGAAAAAAGCAUAAACCCUAUUAAACCAUUAUUUAACUAAUAAAAUAGUAUAUAAUAAAGAAGUUAAUAGAAAACCUAUCGUAAAUACAAACAGAAUGACUUGCACCAAAGCCUAUUAAACCAAAAAGAAAUAAUGAGAAUGUAGAGAGGAUAUUAAUAUUUGUAAAUGCAAAGAAGUAAAUGAAACAUACACCCACUACUGGUCCAAAUUUGUAAUCCUUAUUUUAGAUUGUUAAAAUGAAACUCAAAAUGAACGAUGCUAAGUAUACAUGUAUGCUGUCUUUGCUUGCGAAACUCAAGCAGUUUACAAAAGCUAAGAAACUCUAUACUGAAUAGAAUUCUGUUUCGGAGACACUAGGGUUUCAAAUAUACUCCUUGCAGCAUACAUCAAAGAAAACCAAACGAAAGGACUGAAACCUUUCAUAGUCGGAUGGAGCAGAAUAUACUUCUUCCGUAUUUUCCCUAUGAAACCAACUUCAAAACUGAUUAUACAAAUUAAAAAUUUUCAAACAUUCAAUUACCUAGAAACCACAGUGGUGGAAAUGAAUUGAGCCAUUGCAUGAUAGCGUGUCUUCGAACCACAUCGGUGGCUAAUCUAAUAAAACUUAUCGUUUGACAAAAAAAAUUCAAUUACCCAGAAACCAAAAAUGGAAAUUUUAUUAAAUUAAAUUAAAAUAAACUCAUUGACAAAAGGAACAUAAAAAUGAAAAUUUCUACUAAAUUAAUUAAUACAAACUAAUGCACAAGAGGAGCAUAAACAACCUUUUGAAUUAAUCUAAAGAGAUACAAACUAAAAAUACCGGUCUUGCCAAGAAUCAUGCAAUUCAACACCAUCAAAUUAAUCGUCCCAUUAGGUAAAGUUUCCGGCUUUGCAACAAAACUCUAUAGUGGUGGAGCCAGAAAACCAGAUUAGGAAGGGCCUUAGAAAUUAGCCUUUAAAAUAUAAUUAAUGAAGAGAAAUUAAAGGUUUUGUUUUUUGUAUUGGCAUGGAAAAUUCUAAUAAAACAAGAAUGGUAGAACUUUACAUUUUGUAUAGCAAACUUAGUAUUGAAAUCAUUAUAUCAUAUGAACAAAACUUGUUUCAAGCUUUGAUAAAAAAUAAAAAACAGAUUUGAACAAAAAUCUAUGAUCAUGACUUAAAUUAGAUUUUUCUCUAGAAUAUUUAGGCCUUUGAUUUAUAUCAACUAGCUAAAAAAAAGUAUGAUUUUUAUAUGGUAAAACGUAAGGCAAAUUAUAACAAAAAAAAAGGAGGGCUUAGUUUUAUUAUCGGGAAAAAUAAGGCAAAUUAUAAGGAUUUUUGCUUCCAAUUUAAUCACAGAUUGGACACGUAUCCAUCUGUAAUGUGCUAGCAGCAAGAGCUGUUGCUGAUUUUUUUAGCAGCCAAGUUUUGUUCUAAAAAAAAAUCUAAAAAGUGUCAGAGCACAAGCAAGUCUCCAACCGAGACCAUUUGGAUAUGCAAAACGCCAAAAUCCAAUGAGCUGCAUGCUCAUUUUGGUAAAAGCUUGUAGACAGCAUGUAUAAGACCUGAAAUUUUAAGAUAGGCCUGGGCCAUCACUAGUCUCUAUCUGGCUCCGCCACUGAAACUCUACAAACAUAAAAAUCAUAACCCAAUUUAGACGUUAAAUUUAUGGAGGCAUAUAAAUAGAGAAAUAAUUCGCUAUUUAAAAAAAAAUCUAUCCGUGUAAUCAUAUAAUAUGUAGCAAACCUUGUUGAGAAGAAAUUACGAAUUUUGUAAGAUGAAGACUUUGUGCACAUUUAUUUUUUCUGAUUUCCUGGAUUGAAAUGAGAUUUGUGGAAAGAUAUAUCGGCAGUUUAGUUUGAUAGAAGCUAUGUUUUGCUCAACGUGGGUGCAGUUUUUCCAUUUUUCACAUUCAAUUUUUUUUUAUUGAGGGUUCAUCACGUCCCUUUUUUAAUUUUAUUUUCAUGUUUACAAUCAUCCUGCGUUUUUUUUAAUUGUAUUUUCUUAUUAUUAUACAUUUUAUGGGAUAUUAAUCUCUCUCCUAAAAUGGAGGAGGAGUGGGGUUAAUCUCUCCUUAAUCAGCAUGUCUUAAAUGAAAGAGCAGUGGGGCUAAUCUUUCCUUAAUCGGCAUGUCUUCCCCCUUUUUUAUUUUUUAUUUUUUUUCCUUUUUUUCUUCUAAUAAAAGGAUUUUUUUUCUUUACACAAUUGCCCUUACCUUUUUUUUUGAUAUACUAGUAUAUGCCCACAAACAAAUUGCGAGAAUUUUUUACUUUUGUUUUCAAAAUUAAUGGAGAGAGGAAGAGAGCGAAAGAAAAAUGUGGGAAUGGGGAGAGGUGGACAGAGGUUUAUUUUUUAUUUUUUUUUAAAUUAGAGAUGAUAAAUUCACAUGUAGGUGUGGUUUAAACAAAAAAAGUAAAAUUUUUAUUUGUGAAAUUACGUUAUUGUCCUUUUUUUUGUGAUAGAAAACAAAUGUCUUUUCAUACUCUUUUAGUUGACAAAGAAAGUUUCAAUAAUGUGGUAUAUAUUUUGUAUCAUUAUGAUAAUUCAGUUUACAAGAGUUUUUAGUUCGAGUGUAAUGAUUGUGUUAAAGCGUAAAAUUUAAGUUUUAAAUCCCCUAAAAGCAUUUCCCAUCAUUAGGUUUUAUUAAGUCUUGGUGAGAAAAAAAACCAUUAGCCCAAAUUCCGUCCACAAUUCAAGCCAUAACCGUUGGAGAAAAAAACUGUGUAUGGGUUAUGGCUUAAAAUUUUAAGCUUUAACUCACAUCAUUGCACCUGGUCUUCAAUUGGUUUGUAAUGCUCAUAAGCGUUUGUUCUACAAGUGCUUUCAUAGAGAAACAUUGGAUCUUUUAUUAAAUGUUCAAAUACUUAUUGGAAAAUCACUUGGAAGUGCUUCCUAAAUCAUCGGUUGCUAAAUGCGUUUCUAUAAAACGCUUCUAUGAUACAUAAGUAGUUCACAAAUGCUUCUAAUUACAAUUUUCUUUCUCGACAACCAUAAAGACUUCUGAUUGCCUUUGUCAAUAUAAUUUAUAACCGCUUACGGGUCUUAGAAGUGUUUUUCCUAAAGAAGCUGCCAUGUGAUUUUUUCAUAAAGUAGUUGGAUUUUCAAUAAGAUUUUUAGAUGAGUUUUUCUAAAGAAGCUGCUAUACAGGCCGUAUUCUUUUGGAUGAGUGCUGUGAUCCGUAUCCCAUAUCUGCAUCUGUACCACAUCGUCUGCUAGAUUGAGACGAGAAUAAGUCCUUGAAUCCACGACGUACUUAUCUAGCUUUGCUAAUGUUUACAUCCCGACUACCAUGAAAGCAUAAUAAAGUUAUGGCGGGUGCCCGGUGAAUAUAUGAGUAUCGAACAACUAAAGCACGCAGAAGUAUAAGCCGGACUCACAAGUCGGCAAACGCUCAUGCUUGUAAUCGAAGGGAGUCAGGGGACUGCGCUACAGAACUAACAGCCUCCUUAGCCUCAGCAGACUCAGCUGUUUUGCUGACUUAGUUCUGUAAUCGACAGCUUCCUUCCGUCAUUCCUGACUGCCAUGUAAGCCUCUCGCGCAGGUGAAGGUGAGUUUUAAUGGCAUGGCGGCAGGCCAUUCUGUCCCUCCCACCCUAAGUGGGGCCUCUGAGAAUCCCAAUUGCUUGAGCAGGAGGAAGAACAGAGAAGAUGGUUUUGGAGAAGGUAAACAGGUAAAAAGAACAUAAAAGAUAAAAUUCAAACAAGAUCAAACGGUGAAUCUAAGAGAGAAUUUAGAAAGAAAAUAGGCUUCAUUGGCAAAAUACUGGAAUACAAUGUUGAACAAAAUGACCAAGAUCACUAAACGUCCUACAUCUUGGAUUUUAGAAUACCAUAAAAAAAGUACCAAAUUUCAAAACUUAAACUAAGAAACACAUCUUGGCUCAACAAAAACAGCUACAUCGACUUCUUCCAUCUUGGGACCAGCACUGCUGCCACCAGCAGGAGGAACAUCUUCAUCCAUGGCACCACCGACAUCAGGUCUGCCAGCCCUGGUGCACCUUGGAAAUGAUCGGAUUGCAGAUGCUCUCCAGCUCCUUCAGCUUGUCCUCAAACUCGUCAGCCUCAGCAAGCUGGUUUUCAUCAAGCCAUUGAAUAGCCUGGUUGGUCUGGUCACUCGCAUCCUUGAUCUUCUUGAUCGUGUUCAUCAUGUUGAUAGCAUAAAUCACCAAAGUCUUCCCCAUGUUGCAGGCAUAAUUCUCCAAAGCAAUCUUGGCCUCCACCUUCUUCUUGUGCUUCUCAUCUUCUGACAUGUACUUCUUAGCCUCUUGAACCAUUUUCUCCAUUUCUUCCUUCGACAAUCUUCCCAUGUAAUUGGUGAUGGUAAUCUUCUUCUUCUGCUCUGUAGUCCUGUCUUUAGCAGAGACGUUGAAGAUACCGUUGGCAUCAAUACCAAAGCAGACAGUGAUUUGCGGAACACCCCUUGGAGCAAGAGGAAUGCCAGAAAGCUCAAAUUUUCCCAACAAGUUGUUAUUGCGAGUCCUUGUCCUUUCACCCUCAUAUACUUGGAUCAAGAUACCAGGCUGAUUGUCUGAGUAGGUAGAGAAGACUUGUUCCUUCUUGGUUGGAACGGUUGUGUUCCUUGGAAUAAACACAGUCAUCACACCUCCGGCAGUCUCCAAACCAAGGGACAAAGGAGUGACAUCCAGAACCAAUAAAUCCUUCACCUUCUUGUUACCCUCACCGCUCAAGAUGGCAGCCUGCACAGCGGCGCCAUAACCAACAGCCUCGUCUGGGUUGAUGCUUCUGCACAGCUCUUUGCCCUCGAAGAAGUCCUGCAACAACUGCUGCACCUUUGGAAUCCUAGUAGAACCGCCCACUAGCACAACAUCAUGGACCGAGCACUUGUCCAUCUUUGAAUCUCUCAAACACUUCUCAACGGGCUUCACACACUUUCUGAAAAGAUCCAUGUUAAGCUCUUCAAACCUAGCACGGGUAAUGGUUGAGUAGAAAUCGACACCCUCGUACAAAGAAUCGAUCCCAAUUGUGGUCUGAGAAGUGGAUGAGAGAGUCCUCUUUGCGCUCUCACAAGCAGUUCUUAACCUCCUAAGGGCUCUUGCGCUGCUGCUGAUGUCCUUCUUGUUUUUCCUCUUGAACUCUUGAACAAAGUGAUUCACCAUUCUGUUGUCGAAAUCUUCUCCUCCCAAGUGGGUGUCGCCGGCAGUUGCCUUCACUUGAAAGAUACCCUCUUCACCUGUGAGCAGGGAGACAUCAAAAGUGCCUCCGCCAAGAUCGAAAAUCAAGACAUUCUUCUCCCCAACGCUGGUUGCCUUCUUGUCAAGACCGUAUGCAAAAGCGGCAGCGGUGGGCUCAUUCAUAAUACGCAGAACAUUGAGGCCGGCAAUGACCCCAGCAUCCUUCGUGGCCUGACGCUGAGAAUCGUUGAAGUAAGCCGGGACAGCAACAACGGCAUUCUUUAUAGAUGAGCCAAGAUAGGCCUCAGCAAUCUCACGCAUCUUGAAGAGAACCAUGGAGGAAAUUUCUUCAGCAGUGAACUGCUUCUCUUCGCCCUUGUAUGUGACAACAAUCAUGGGCUUGUCACCGGGGCCGGAAAUGACCUUGAAAGGCCAAUGCUCCAUGUCCCUCUGAACAGAAGGGUCAGAGAAUCUCCUACCAAUCAACCGCUUGGCAUCUGAAAAAUUAACCAAGCUCGUUAAAAAAUACUAAUUUAUUAAUAAUUCAUAACAUAGAACAAGCUACAAUAUCAAGCUAAAUCAAUUAAAACUUAUCAAAAAUAAAAGUAACCAAAUAGAUCAUGCCAGACACUAAAAACUCGGAAAGCUUUUUUAAAUGGGUUUUUAUUACAAACAGUCCCUAAAAUUGAUUCAACUCAUCAAGAUGAUCCUUGAAAUUGAAAAUCGAUCAAUUUGGUAUAUGAAAAUGGGGGGUCAGAAAUCAAUGUGAUCAUUCUGUCACAAUUCCGUCAAACUCUAUUAUGUGUUGAUGUGGCACGUAAGUGGGUCUUACAAGACUAAUGAAUAUUGCCAUAUGGAUUAGAAAUACUUAAAAUAAUUAAAAAUAUAUAUUUUUGGAUAAUUACAAAAAAAAAAAAAAAAAAAAAAAAAAAAAACAGUCAUCUUCUUCUCCCACCCAAGGAAGCUGCACCCCUCCACUUCGGCUCCGAAUCAGAAACUUCAUGCCUGAUAUCUAGAAGCCCCAAAGCCCUUAAUAUCGCAUCCACCGCACAAUGAAGUGACACAUCCCCAUAAUUCGAAUACAAAAUUCAAAAAUUAAAUCGAAAAUGUAAUAAAAUAAAUUAAAAAAAUAUGAAAUUACGGGAAGAAAAAGCAGAUUAAUGGAGGAAUACAUUCAUCUUUUAUUUUAAUUUUUAUUUAUUUAUAAGUUUUUAAUUAUAUAAAUAAUUUUUUAAUUAUUUAAAUAUUUUAAAUCCACAGAGCAAUAUUUAAUUAUAUUUGUGGCACCUGUGCCACAAAGAAUAAGAAUUUUUGACGUAAUUGUAACGGAAUGACCACAUUGAUUAGCGACAUCAAUUUUCAGAGAAUAUUAACCUGCAAAGUUCAAAAAAUAAUUAAAAAAUAAAAAAUAAAAAAUAAACCUGCAAAAUUAUUUAUCACACCCAGCCUAAAAAAAUAAUUGUGUUUGGGAUAAAAUCUGAACUUUGGGCCAGAGAGAAAGUCGGCCCAAACCCAAGGCCCAGAGGAAAACUUAGGAGGCAGGAAAGAGGCUUUCGGCUGGGCACAAGUUACAAAGGCCACCUGCUUACCUGCUCAAAGACCACAGGGGGUAGGCUAUUCAGUCACUACAUAGCCCAAUAAAGUACUUUAUUGGUGGCAUUCAUGUAAAAAAGCUAGUGAGUCAUCACCAAACCGCAUUCGGGCACCGCUAUUGCUACAGGAACCCAAGCUGAAGUCGUCUAUAAAAGGAGGAAGAGAAGACAGAAUUAAAGACACUCAAACAAACAAACAAAAGCCAAAACUCUGCUCAAGCCAGAUUUGCCUUCAACGAAGCUGUAGUCAGCACAAGCCUUCAUCCCAUUCGGGAUAAACCUUCCCAAACCCCUGUAAUAGCUCUGCUACCUUGUUCAUGGUGGUAUCGAUUCAUUUUGUAUCCUCUUCUCCCCCGUCAACCCCUCUAAAAACUUUCAGACCUCUGACAGAGCCACAAAGAUAGAUUUUGUAAGAAGUUCAGCCUUGGCCGAUAAGGUUCAAACUUACCCGACUAUCUUUGCUCUGUCUUUGUCUUUUCUUUCUUUUAAAAGCACAAUAACAUGUUAUAUAUUCCCAAUUAUAUACAAGUUAUUUCUAGCAAAGUCAUAAUGAAAAUGAGUCUUCAGCACUUGAAUCCGAUCUGAAUCGCGUCAGAGUUCAAAUCAGAUCUAAGUCUUAAGCCCGCGGGCAUGUAAUUUAAAGAUCAGUAAAGUCCUUGGCCUCAAGGCAUAAAAAAGAACUCUAUGUGGACUCAACCCAUCCACGACAAUCCUUGAUAAGCGAGAAGUCCGAAGUUACUUGGGGCGCAAGUAAUCAAUCUAUUUCUCCGUUUUGUUGCUAUUAUAUCUUGAUUCGUAGAAAAGGCUUAAGCACGGAGUGAAUUCUGAUAGAAAGCCUCAAGGCCUACACCUAAGGCCCCCUAAGGCCCCACGAAGGCAUCUAUUUAGCUUCAUUUCAUGUUGCGGUCUAGUUGGUCCGAGUAUAAGGAUUAACUCUGAUGGGAAGCCUCAAGGCCUAUACCUAAGGCCCUACAAAGGCACUCAUUUGGGUUCGUCCUACCUCUUGGAUUCAGAUAAUCAAAGGUAUAAUAGUGAUAAGACUCUGGCAACCAUAAAAGACCAAAUAUGAUACAUCCAAGCGCUGGUUUAGGUUGACAGGAAGCCUCAAGGCCUAUACCUAAGGCCCCACAAAGGCACCUGUUAUAUCUAACUUGGUUUCUCGGGCGUAUACAUAUUCAAUCAAAGCUUAACACCCAUUCAACAUCUGCCAUACUAAAGAUGGCAGUGGCACGCCUGAGCACGACAAAGUUAAUCUUGAUUGUGAGCCUUAAGGCCUACACCUAAGGCCCCACAAAGGCACCCUUUCAAAUUAACUUUGUCCUUCUCUUUCAGAACUGCCCGACGAGCCUUGCCCGAAGUGUGUCUUGCCCGACCAAGAUCUGCCCGACAAAGGCUUGCCCAAGCGAGUCCGAGAAGAAAGCAGAAGUACGACAGAUACCCUCAACCGACGCCAUUCUCCCAGGGGAGCUGUGUACUCGUCCGCCAGGAGAUUCCUGCGACGAACAUAGUUUUGGCACGCCCGGUGGGACAAGAAACAGCUACACUUCUAAGAUCUUACAUGUCCAAAAAAGAGAAGCUAUAAACUUGCCAAAAAAGAAGCCAAGAAGGAUCUUUUCCAGAUGACAGAACAAUCAGAAAAUCCUUUAUCCCCAUCCGGACAGGUGGUCUCAGGUAGUUCGACUGCAUCUGAGAAAUCACAGGGGGAAGGGAUUAAUGAAGAACUGCAAGCUACAAUGAUCCAAGUGUUGAAAAGCAUGGAAAGAAUUUCCUUGGAGACUAAGGGAGAAGUAAAGCAGACUCUGCAUGCUUACAGGAAAUCUACAAAGGAGGCUGGAUUUGGAGUUCUCUACUCCAAAGGGUGCUCAAGGAAGUGGAAUGAGUCCAGUUGUUAUAAGAAGUGAGCCAAUCAUUUCUUUGUUUCCACUACUAGAAGAAGAAAAGGAUAGGGGAAAGAAGAAGGUGAUACCUGAAGAAAGUCAAGCAGUGAUGGAGUCAGCUUCAGAAAAGGAGUUUCCCAGCUUCCCAUUAUUAUCAUUUAAUAAUAGGAGGCAGAGCGAACAAGAAAGAAUGAAGUUUGGACUGCCAGCCACGGCUGGGAGAAACUAGCGGGAAAGAAACAACCACUACUACGUCAGAUAAACCUCUACCUUAUAGGCCACCCCCGAUGGUCAACAAAGGUGGAGGAUCUAACUGGAGAAAAUCUGAAACCAAGAGGGAAGCAAACGCGGGCAAUGACCGGAGUCCGAAGAUUGAGUCAGCUAUCCAUGGCCAGAAUGAUAAUUUAGCUACUCAGCAACUAAGAGAAGAAUUGGCUGAGUUAAAGAAGAACGGUGAUUCAAAACGCCCAGCCUCGAGUUCGUCCAGUAUUCAGGGUUACCUACCAGAAGCCAUAUCCUGAAUAUAUCGAUGAGUUAAAUCCAUUCCCUCUUAAUUUCAAGAUGCCCGCAUUCCCGACUUUCACAGGGGAAGAUAGCAGUGUGUCCUCCAGAGAUCGUAUUUUCAAAUUUUCUAAUCACUGUGUGGCGUAUGAGGACAAUCCAAACUACAAAUUGAGGUUGUUUGGAAAUUCACUAGCAGGAUUGGCAUCUCAAUGGUAUUCUCUAUUACCCCCCAAUUCCAUUGCUAACUGGGGGCAAAUGGAGAUGGCUUUCCAUGAACAGCUCUACAGGAUAGAGCCAGAGCUCACCAUUAAUGAUCUGGUAGAAGUGAAACAAUAUGAUCAUGAGUCCACCGAAGAUUUUAUGAUGAGGUUCAGGAGGACAAGGAUGAGAUGUCAGUUCCCUGUCAACCAGGCACAGCUCAUAUCCAUUGCUCAAAGGGCUUUAAAAUUACCUUUGAGAAAGAGGUUCUAUGAUGCACAGUUUAAUGAGCUACAAGAGUUGGUGAUUGCUGCUACUAAGUAUGAGAGGCUGUUACAGGAGGAACAGCAGGUAAAACAUACUUCCAAAACUCCUCCGUUCUACAAAAAUAAAGCUACUAUUCACCAUGUAGAAGUAGGGGAAGCCGGACCCGAAUGCAAAGAUGAUCAUGAGGACAAGAGUAUAGAUGUAUGUGCUGCUGAGAUGACCACACCCUUCAAGCCAUUGACGAUCAAAGGGUUAGUCCAACCAGUCAAGGACCAGAAGAUCGUGAUGAAUGAUGGUGGGUUCGUACCCAUGAAACCCCCAAAGUAUCAAAGUUAUUCUUUCGAUCUAACCAAGGCGCCAGAAAUCUAUGAAGAACUUGUGCGGGCAAGAGUCAUUUUGCCCGACAGCACCAAAAAGAUGCCCAAGCCCGAGGAACUCAGGGGGAAGAAGUAUUGUAAGUUGCAUUAUACCUUCAACCACUCUAUAGUCAAUUGUGUCCAGUUUAGGGACUGGGUACAUGAUCUUAUAGUGAAGGGGAAGUUACUACUCGAUUCACCUCAGGCUAGUAUGUUGGUGGAUACUAACCCUUUCCCCGAAGCUCCUAUUAGCAUGAUCGACCUCGUUUUCAAGGAGUCGGGGUUAUCAACAGAGUAAAAUGCCAUUGAAAGGACCCGGGAGCAGGGGCUAAGAUUGCCAACAAUAAAGAUGGAGGAGAAAAGCAGGUAGGCAAGGGGGCAUAGAGUUGCCUGAGGCCUAUCCAAAUGGAGCAGAACAGGAGGAAUGUUACAUAUCCAUUCUAAAACAAAAAGAGAUUACAAAGUAAUUCUAUUCCAAAAACUUUAUAUCUUCACAUAAGGUGAUUAUUCUAGAAUGGUAUGUUCGCAUGAUGGUAAAAAUUCUAUUUGGUUCAGCCAAGACAGUAUGGCUGUUUACAAGUUCAGACUUGGUUUGCUCUAACUCUGAAGUCGCUUUUUCCACCCCUUCGAUCUGUUGCUCAAGGUUAUCCAGAAGAGUUGUUUGCUUCGCCUUAAGGAUCAUCAGUUGUCUCUCCAACUUCUGAAUUUCAGAAGAAACAACUUCAAUCCGUUCUUUGGUCUGCAUACUCUCUUCCAUCAGCCGACUAACUUGGGUAGAGGAGCUCGAUUCUCUCUCUAUGAAGCAUUUUGCCCGGUUAGCCAGCCGGUCUGCUCUCUGAUGUUGCUCCCUGAGGGCCCUCAAGUUUUCAAAGAAAGAAAGGAAAGAAUCAUACUGAGGCUUAGAUAAGCGAUCGUUUUUAAAGAACUCAGUAAUGACUCUCUCGAGGUCACAGAGAGCCUUGAGGCUAAAUGAUGCAGUGAAUUCUUUCUUUGCCCAUGUUUGAAAGAUUUGUGUUGCUGCUCCGAAGACAUAGAUUUUGUUGAAGCCUGCUUUGAAGACUUCAACCGCGUCUCAAGUCGCCCGAGUGCUUCGAAGAGUUUGGGCAACUUGGCAGGAUCAGAGGAGGAAGGAGAAGGGUCCGGCAUAACAGUUUCUUCUGGUGAGAUAAUGCCUAUGGAAGGGGCAAUUUCUGUUUGUUCAAUCGGUUCAUCUCUAGACAGGGAGGUGUCAACAUCUCCAGAGGAAGAAGGAGGUUGAAAGCACCUUGGGUUACGGGCCAUUGGAGGAGGGGAAGUUUCUUUUGGGGAAGCUCGCUACAAAACUUCAGGAUCAGGACAAGAUGAACUAUACACAAAUCAAAACAAAAGAGGCUUUGGAGAGAAGAAAGUUACCUGACUUAACCCCGGGGUUUCACCAGAAAAUGCACUAACUCCUUGUCGAGGUGAAGAUUUUUCACCACCAGCGACAUAUGGGAAAGUUGUGCCUGAACCUGUGCCUACAUCCUGGUUGUAUCCAAAGAAAGUAGUGAUGAUCAGCAAAAGGUCACCAGAGGAAGAAACAAGAAGAAAAUAUUCCAGCACCUGAGGUUGAUCUUGAGGAGAAGGAGGUUCAUCGACCGUCUGGCGAGUAAGCGCUUGCGAAAUAGUUGUGUCUAAAGCUACAGGGAUCUCAGGAACUAUGGGUUCUUUAUCCAAGGCCACUGACGGGGAAAGGGGUUCAUAUCCCGAAGAUGGCUGCAAAGAACAUGGAUAGGAGUUACUUGGGUAGCAAUGUGCAAAGUUGAAAUGAAAAGAAAGAGUAACUCACCAAAGUAUCAUCCUCAUCCACAAAAUGCAACAUGAUUCUUGUGGAAGGAUCAAAUUGAGAAGAAGGGGUUGCAUCUAGGGCAGGUUGCGGAGAAAGACUUUCUUUCCUUGUAGCCUAAAGCCAAAUUAUUCAAAAUUCAGAAAGGUUUGAAAAUAAGAAAGUAUAAAGAUAGAAGUCAUACCUCUUUAAGCGUAGCAGCCCUUCGUGAUUCCUUCUUAGAAGCAAGGGUUGACCUUUUAGAAGCUUGAGGUCCUGUUGAGUGAUAAAGGGAUAAUCAGAUAAGGGAGAAAGGUAGCCAUUUGAUCCAGAAGAGGAGAGACUCACUGGAAGAUUGUUCUGUCUCUUUACCCGCUUCAGAAACGGGAGCAGAUGGGGCUGCUGGUUUAGGAGGCACGGUGACUCUUGCCCGCUUACUCUUUCGGGUAAGAAUUGGUCGUGUGGUUGCUGAAGGAAGCGCCGGAUCAGAGAUUGUGGUUUUAGUUAUGGCCACCCUCUUUCGUUUAGAUGCUUUGGUCGUAUCUUUGGCUAUUCUUUUAAUUGUUUCUUCAGCUCCUGAAUCCCCAAGAGAUUCAGAGACGUCUGUCCCUUCCCCGGCUUCCCGCCUUUCAGCUUCUGCUGCAGCACCAUGAAGAACUGCGGCAUCAGCAGAAUCAUUCUCUGAUUCGAUGGCUUCGGAUUCAGUAUCAACUGAAGCUGCAGAAACAGGUAAGAGUGAGGAAAGUAAACAACAAGGAAAGCAAAAUCGGAUGGGAAGAAAGUCACCUAUUAGGAGUAAUCAGUUUUUCUCUUGGAUCAUAUCUUUCCAAUUUGCAAGCUCGCCCGAGCUAGGAUAUGAUUUAAGAGAAAGCUGGCUGAAAAUACGAUCGUGGUUCACUUUCAAAUCUCCUCCGUAUUUUCUAGUCCACCUUUCCUCCCACCAAGAAGAAAACAGCGAGGUACAUUCGAAAUUAAGAACAACGGAAUGUCGGGCUGCUUGGCUCAUCACGUCCAAACUACGGCGGGCAGCUCGAAAUAUUGCUUCAGAAUGAGUCUGUAACCGAAAUGAAGUGCCACAAUGGAUGGAGUCGAAGAAUGGGACAGGUAUGGAUUGCCUAAAUCCUAAUUGCCUGCUGCAGAAGUUAGGAUGAUACACAUCCAAGCCUCGAUCAUACCGAUUUCCCCGGACCCCCCAGGCCAAGUCUCUUGGCUGAAUACAGCUGAUAAACUUUUCCCUGCAGAAGGGAGCAGCAUCCUCACCAGGGGCAUCUUGGAAGGCUUGGUCAGAAAACCAAGGAUAUCUCCUCAAGACCGAUGCACCCCAUUCCAAGUCUGACCGAGUCCUGCAGACUCGGAAAAAGUAGAAGAAGCAUGCAAAGGUGGAAUGAUCUACAGGAGGAGCUUCAGCCAGGAUUCGGGCAGGAGCCACACCCUCUGGAAACUCUAGAUUGAUAGCCCGAAAUUCUGGAAAAUACCAUUGUAGCCAAAUCUGUAUCAUCCAGAUGGGGCCGUUCAAAUUGGUCUCAAAGGGCUCAUCCCGGGUCAUGUCAAAAAGAAGGUGAUAGAGAUGGGAGAGAAGGAAUGGACCUGUGGUAACGUCAUCAAAAUUGUGAAGAACCUCUACCAAGGGGAUCCAUUCUACCCGUACCCCCUUGGAUUUGUUGGGGAAGACGUGCUUGUUAAGCCAGUAAAGAAGAAAGUACAUAUGCUCUUGAUCUUUGUCGGCUUGAGGAGAGCCUACCCCGAAGUUCUUCUUGACAAAAGGGAUGAAUCCUUUAAAGGAGGUCCCAUAACUUUUGAAAGUAACUGAGUUAUAGCUAAGAGGAAGGAAGUAGGUGGAAGAACUUGAGCCCCCGGUGGUAGAGGAUGGAAUCCAAUCUUGAGUAACAUCUAUCACCCUGCCCGAUGGCCUCAACCCGAAGACUUGGGCCAUAUCAAGAAUGGUGGGAGACAUGGGACCCAUACGGAAAUCGAAGGUGUUUGUGCCCGUAUUUCCAAAAGAGGAGGGCAGAAGCAAGCAAUUCGGGCUUAGGGGUAAUUGAAAUCUUCGAAAGCAUAAUCAGUUCGUAGAUGCCGUUACUCAUCCAUUUCUGCUUGAAGGAAGGUUCCAAUUCGUCAAUCCACUGGGCCCAGGCAAGAUCAUUCAUCAAGGGAAAGACUCGACGAUGAAAAGACCACUUAGAAGAAGAAAUGCCCGAGUCGGCCAAAUAAGGAUUUGGGGUAAACCAGUUUCCCCUAGGCAUAUUACUUUCUACUACUGAGGGAACCCGAGAAAUCCAGGCAGGACCCAAAGAUUGAACCCCAUGCAUCUCAAAGAAGAGUUCAGAAUGCAGACCUGCCCGCGGACGAUGCAGCCCGUUGAGCAGACGGCGUAGAGUGGCAAUUCCUUCACCAGACUCGUAGGAUGGUAGGGUUUGGCCGGAUCCUGAGGCCAUUUAAUGAAGGCCGUGGGGAAGAAAAACAAGGAGAACGGUAAAGAUACAACCUCGUCGGACAACGAGAAAGAAAUGAUGGAAGAAUUGGGAAGUUUUGUUGUAUCAGAGAAGGUUUUCUUUUUACGAAACACAGAGAACAGAGAAGUUCACUCACAAGGGUUCUAAGAGUUCUAAGGGUUUAAAGCAGGGGUCUCUUUCAAUUAAUAUUGGCGCCUGGGAUCCCAACCUUAACAUCAAUUGAAGGGGGCACUGUUUGGGAUAAAAUCUGAACUUUGGGCCAGAGAGAAAGUCGGCCCAAACCCAAGGCCCAGAGGAAAACUUAGGAGGCAGGAAAGAGGCUUUCGGCUGGGCACAAGUUACAAAGGCCACCUGCUUACCUGCUCAAAGACCACAGGGGGUAGGCUAUUCAGUCACUACAUAGCCCAAUAAAGUACUUUAUUGGUGGCAUUCAUGUAAAAAAGCUAGUGAGUCAUCACCAAACCGCAUUCGGGCACCGCUAUUGCUACAGGAACCCAAGCUGAAGUCGUCUAUAAAAGGAGGAAGAGAAGACAGAAUUAAAGACACUCAAACAAACAAACAAAAGCCAAAACUCUGCUCAAGCCAGAUUUGCCUUCAACAAAGCUGUAGUCAGCACAAGCAUUCAUCCCAUUCGGGAUAAACCUUCCCAAACCCCUGUAAUAGCUCUGCUACCUUGUUCAUGGUGGUAUCGAUUCAUUUUGUAUCCUCUUCUCCCCCGUCAACCCCUCUAAAAGCUUUCAGACCUCUGACAGAGCCACAAAGAUAGAUUUUGUAAGAAGUUCAGCCUUGGCCGAUAAGGUUCAAACUUACCCGACUAUCUUUGCUCUGUCUUUGUCUUUUAUUUCUUUUAAAAGCACAAUAACAUGUUAUAUAUUCCCAAUUAUAUACAAGUUAUUUCUAGCAAAGUCAUAAUGAAAAUGAGUCUUCAGCACUUGAAUCCGAUCUGAAUCGUGUCAGAGUUCAAAUCAGAUCUAAGUCUUAAGCCCGCGGGCAUGUAAUUUAAAGAUCAGUAAAGUCCUUGGCCUCAAGGCAUAAAAAAGAACUCUAUGUGGACUCAACCCAUCCACGACAAUCCUUGAUAAGCGAGAAGUCCGAAGUUACUUGGGGCGCAAGUAAUCAAUCUAUUUCUCCGUUUUGUUGCUAUUAUAUCUUGAUUCGUAGAAAAGGCUUAAGCACGGAGUGAAUUCUGAUAGAAAGCCUCAAGGCCUACACCUAAGGCCCCACGAAGGCAUCUAUUUAGCUUCAUUUCAUGUUGCGGUCUCUAGUUGGUCCGAGUAUAAGGAUUAACUCUGAUGGGAAGCCUCAAGGCCUAUACCUAAGGCCCUACAAAGGCACUCAUUUGGGUUCGUCCUACCUCUUGGAUUCAGAUAAUCAAAGGUAUAAUAGUGAUAAGACUCUGGCAACCAUAAAAGACCAAAUAUGAUACAUCCAAGCGCUGGUUUAGGUUGACAGGAAGCCUCAAGGCCUAUACCUAAGGCCCCACAAAGGCACCUGUUAUAUCUAACUUGGUUUCUCGGGCGUAUACAUAUUCAAUCAAAGCUUAACACCCAUUCAACAUCUGCCAUACUAAAGAUGGCAGUGGCACGCCUGAGCACGACAAAGUUAAUCUUGAUUGUGAGCCUUAAGGCCUACACCUAAGGCCCCACAAAGGCACCCUUUCAAAUUAACUCUGUCCUUCUCUUUCAGAACUGCCCGACGAGCCUUGCCCGAAGUGUGUCUUGCCCGACCAAGAUCUGCCCGACAAAGGCUUGCCUGAGCGAGUCCGAGAAGAAAGCAGAAGUACGACAGAUACCCUCAACCGACGCCAUUCUCCCAGGGGAGCUGUGUACUCGUCCGCCAGGAGAUUCCUGCGACGAACAAAUUGCUUUCAAGGAAAUUGAACUCUUUUUCUCAGAAAUUCAGGCAAUAGAAAUCUAAAAACAGCAAAGUUUAAACAACCAGCAAAUAUUGACAGUAAAAUUCGUAAAAUCAGCAAGACAAGCAGAGAUCAAACAGUACGAGGCAAAAAAACAUCACAUAAAAAAAUUUCGCAAGAAAAAGAAGGUAUCUCGAUUCUUGCCCAGGACGGUGUUGAUGGGGUUCAUUGCGCCUUGGUUCUUGGCCGCAUCGCCGAUCAACCUCUCCGUAUCAGUAAACGCCACGUAAGACGGCGUCGUGCGGUUGCCCUGUUCAUUAGCGAUGAUCUCGACGCGGUCGUGUUGCCAAACAGCGACGCACGAGUAACUAGUUCCGAGAUCUAUACCGAUCGCUGGCCCCUCUCCCUUUACCGCCAUUGCAACCGCUGAUAUUCAAUCAAUCAAAGAACCGCAGAGAAAAGUAAAGAGCUUUUGAGCUUUUGAGAUAGGUAAAGAAACUUAGCCAGGACGAAAUAAAUUCAGUUUGUAGAAUUUUAUUUUCUUUUUACAUUUGUUGGCGCGUAAAGACAUUCUUAUAGUUAUAAUACAGUUAUAAUACUCUAAGUGCACGUACAAUGUUUAAUUUUAAUAUUUGUACUUGUCAAGAGAUAUUCUUUAAUUUUAAUUUUUUUAGCUAAAAAUUUGUAUGAACUUUUGCACCGUUAAAUUUAAAUUAAGGUUAUGCAAGUCUCUCAACUUGAGAAAAUCACACAAAACCUGUUAAACCAUUAUUUAACUAAUAAAUUAGUAUACGAUAAAGAAGUUAAUAGAAAGGUAACCUAUUGUAAAUACAAACAGAAUGACUGCACUAAAGCCUAUUAAACCAAAAAGAAAUGAAAAGAAUGUAGGUAGAAAAUUAAUAUUAGUAAAUGAGAAUUAAUAUUAAGGAAAACUAAUAAAAAUGGUUUAAAAACUUUGAGUUUUAACGAUAAGGACAAAAUAAAAAGUAAAGUGAAUAGUACCGAGAUCACCAAACAUAAAGGAUAAAAUUCAAACAAUAUCAAACAGUGAAUCCAAGAGAGAUAAUUUAGAAAGAAAAUGGGCUUCAUUGACAAAAUACUAGAAUACGAUGUUGAACAAAAUAACCAAGAUCACCAAACAUCCUACAUCUUGGAUUUUAGAAUCCCAUUAAAAAAGUACCCAAUUUCAAACCUUAAACUAAGAAACACAUAUUGGCUCAACAAAAACAGAUUCAUUGACUUCUUCCAUCUUGGGACCAGCACCGCUGCCACUAGCAGGAGGAACAUCUUCAUCCAUGGUGCCACAGACAUCAGGUAUGCCAGCCUUGGUGCACCUUGGCAAUGAUUGGAUUGCAGAUGCUCUCCAGCUCAUCCAGCUUGUCCACAAACUCGUCAGCCUCAGCAAGUUGGUUUUCAUCAAGCCAUUGAAUAGCCUGGUUGGUCUGGUCACUCGCGUCCUUGAUCUUCUUGAUCGUGUUCAUCAUGUUGACAGCAUAAAUCACCAAAGUCUUCCCCAUGUUGUAGGCAUAAUUCUCCAAGGCAAUCUUGGCCUCUACCUUCUUCUUGUGCUUCUCAUCUUCUGACUUAUACUUCUUAGCCUCUUGAACCAUCUUCUCUAUUUCUUCCUUCGACAAUCUUCCAUUGUCCUUGGUGAUGGUAAUCUUGUUCUUCUUCCAUGUAGUCCUGUCUAUAGCAGAGACGUUGAAGAUACCAUUGGCAUCAAUAUCAAAGCAGACAGUGAUUUGCGGAACACCCCUUGGAGCAAGAGGAAUGCCAGAAAGCUCAAAUUUUCCCAACAAGUUGUUAUCGCGAGUCCAUAUCCUUUCACCCUCAUAUACUUGGAUCAAGAUACCAGGCAGAUUGUCUGAGUCGGUAGAGAAGACUUGUUCCUUCUUGGUUGGAACGGUCGUGUUCCUUGGAAUCAACACAGUCAUCACACCUCCGGCAGUCUCCAAACCAAGGGACAGAGGAGUGACAUCCAGAAGCAAUAAAUCCUUCACCUUCUUGUUACCCUCACCGCUCAAGAUGGCAGCCUGCACAGCGGCGCCAUAAGCAACAGCCUCAUCUGGGUUGAUGCUUCUGCACAGCUCUUUGCCCUCGAAGAAGUCCUGCAACAACUGCUGCACCUUUGGAAUCCUAGUAGAACCGCCCACUAGCACAACAUCGUGGACCGAGCUCUUGUCCAUCUUUGCAUCUCUCAAACACUUCUCAACGAGCUCCAUACACUUUCUGAAAAGAUCCAUGUUAAGCUCUUCAAACCUAGCACGGGUAAUGGUUGAGUAAAAAUCGACACCAUUGUACAAAGAAUCGAUCCCAAUUGUGGUCUGAGAAGUGGAUGAGAGAGUCCUCUUUGCCUUCUCACAAGCAGUUCUCAACCUUCUACGAGCACUUGGGCUGCUGCUGAUGUCCUUCUUGUGUUUCCUCUUGAACUCUUGAACAAAAUGAUUCACCAUUCUAUUGUCGAAAUCUUCUCCUCCCAAGUGGGUGUCUCCGGCAGUUGCCUUCGCUUUAAAAAUACCCUCUUCAACUGUGAGCAGGGAGAUAUCAAAAGUGCCUCCGCCAAGAUCGAAAAUCAAGACAUUCUUCUUGCUAACGCUGGUGACCUUCUUGUCAAGACCAUAUGCAAAAGCGGCAGCGGAGGGCUCAUUCAUAAUACGCAGAACAUUAAGGCCGGCAAUGACCCCAGCAUCCUUCGUGGCCUGACGCUGAGAAUCGUUGAAGUAAGCCGGGACAGUAACAACGGCAUUCUUUAUAGAUGAGCCAAGAUAGGCCUCAGCAAUCUCACGCAUUUUGAAGAGAACCAUGGAGGAAAUUUCUUCAGCAGUGAACUGCUUCUCUUCGCCCUUGUAUGUGACAACAAUCAUGGGCUUGUCACCGGGGCCGGAAAUGACCUUGAAAGGCCAGUGCUUCAUGUCACUCUGAACAGAAGGGUCAGAGAAUCUCCUACCAAUCAACCGCUUGGCAUCUGAAAAAUUAACCAAGCUCGUUAAAAAAAUACUAAUUUAUUAAUAAUUCAUAACACAGAACAAGCUACAAUAUCAAGCUAAAUCCAUUAAAACUUAUCAAAAAUAAAAGUAACCAAAUAGAUCAUGCCAGACACUAAAAACUCGGAAAGCUUUUUUAAAUGGAUUUUUAUCACAAACGGUCAUUGAAAUUGAUUGAACUUAUCAAAAUGAUCAUUGAAAUUGAAAAUCGAUCAAUCUAAUCCAUAAAAACGGGGUCGGAAAUCAAUGUGAUCAUUCUGUCACAAUUCUGUCAAACUCUGUUAUGUGCUGAUGUGGCACAUAAAUGGGUCUCACAAGACUAAUUCAUAUUGCCACAUGGAUUAGAAAUACUUGAAAUUAUUUUUGAAAAAAAUAUUUUUGGAUAAUUAAAAACUUAAAAAAAAAAAUAGCCAUCUUCUCCCACCCGAGGAAGCUGCACCCCUCCACUUCGGCUCUGAAUCAGAAACUAUGCCUGAUAUCCAGAAGCCCCAAAGCCCCUAAUAUCGCAUCCACCACACAAUGAAGUGACACAUCCCCAGAAUUCGAAUACAAAAUUCAAAAAUUAAAUAAAAAAUGUAAUAAAAUAAAUUAGAAAAUGUGAAAUUACGGGAAGAAAAAGCAAAUUAAUGGAGGAAUACAGUCAUAUAUAUAUAUAUAUAUAUAUAUAUAUUUUUAAGUUUUUAAUUAUAUAAAUAAUUUUUAAUUUAUUUAAAUAUUUUAAAUCCAUAGAGCAAUAUUUACUUAUAUUUGUGGGAACCAGUUAUGUGCCACAAAGAAUUUUUGACGGAAUUGUAACGGAAUGACCACAUUGAUUUGUGACACCAAUUUUCAGGGAUUACAUUGAUUGAUUUUCAAUUUCAUGGACCAUCUUGAUAAGGUAGAUCAAUUUAAGAGACCAUUUAUGAUAAAAACCAUUUUUAAAAUUUCAUCCAACAAUUUACAAGAAACUUAAAACCCAAAUUAUAAUUUUGAACAGAUUAACUAAAACUCGUGGCCGUGACCACCAAUUAUAAUAUUUGAUAGUCCAUUAAUAUUAACUAAACAAAUCCUGCAAAUAAAAAUAAAAAAUAAAUAAACCGAUCAAUUCGCUAUAAAAAGAUUCAAGGCACAACAAACCCUGCACAAAAUUAACCUGCAAAGUUAUUUAUCAGACCAAGCCUCAAAAAGAUAAUUACUUUCAAGGAAAUUGAACUCUUUUUCUCAGAAAUUCAGGCAAUAGAAAUCUAAAAACAGCAAAGUUUAAACAACCAGCAAAUAUUGACAGUAAAAUUCAUAAAAUCAACCAUACAAGCAGAGAUCAAACAGUACAAGGCAAAAAAACAACAUCACAUAAAAAAGAAAGUAUCUCGAUUCUUACCCAGGACGGUGUUGACGGGGUUCAUGGCGACCUGGUUCUUGGCCGCAUCGCCGAUCAACCUCUCCGUAUCAGUAAACGCCACGUAAGACGGCGUCGUGCGGUUGCCCAGAUCAUUAGCGAUGAUCUCGACGUGGUCGUGUUGCCAAACAGCGACGCACGAGUAACUAGUUCCGAGAUCUAUACCGAUCGCUGGCCCCUCUCCCUUUACCGCCAUUGCAUCAGCUGAGAUUCAAUCAAUCAAACAAGCAAAGAACCGCAGAGAAAAGUAAAGAGCUUUUGAGAUUUUUGGGCGAUAGGUAAAGAAAGUUAGCCAGGAAGAAAUUCAGUUUGUAAAAUAUUCCCUCCCUUCUGCAUGUGCGUAUGAAAGACGCUACGCGCGGCGUGUAGAAUUAUAUUUUCUUUUUACAUUUGUUGGCGCAUGAAAACAUUCUUAUAGUUACAAUGCGCGAAGCGCACGUACAAUGUUUAAUUUUAAUAUUUGUACUUGUCAAGAGACAUUCUUUAAUUUUAAUUUUUUUAGUUGAAAAUUUGUAUGAACUUUUGCACCGUUAGAUUUAAAUUAAGACUAUGCAAGUCUCUCAACUUGAGAAAAUCACAUAAAACCUGUUAAACCAUUAUUUAACUAAUAAAUUAGUAUAUGAUAAAGAAGUUAAUAGAAAGGUAACCUAUUGUAAAUACAAACAGAAUGACUGCACCAAAGCCUAUUAAACCAAAAAAAAAUGAGGAGAAUGUAGGUAGAAAAUUAAUAUUAGUAAAUGGGGAUUAAUAUUAAGGAAAACUAAUGAAAAAGGCUUGAAAACUUUGAGUUUUAACGAUAAUGAUAAAAUAAAGGAUAAAGUGAAUAUUACUAGGAUUGACUUCUUGGUGUAAAUGUGGUUUUUCGUUAAAGUGAACAGUAUUGGGAGAUUUUCAUUAGAGUUCCCUUAAUAUUAAUGGUCCAAAUCUGUAAUCCUUAUCUUAGAUUGCUAAAAUGAAACUCAAAAUGAACAAUGCUAAGUAUACAUGUGUAUGCUAUCUUCGCUUGCGAAACUCAAGCAGUUUGCAAAAGCUGAGAAACUCUAUACUGAAUAGGACUUUGUUUCGGAGACUCUAGGGUUUCAAAUAUACUUCUUGCAGCGUACAUCAAAGAAGACCAAACGAAAGGACUGAAACCUUUCAUAGUCGGAUGGAGCAAAAUAUACUUCUUCUGUAUUUUCCCUGUGAAACCAACUUCAAAACUGAUUGUACAAAUUAAAAAAUUUCAAACAUUCAAUUACCCGGAAACCAAAAAUGAAAAUUUUAUUAAAUUAAAUUAAAAUAAAUCAUUGGCAAAAAGAACAUAAAAAUGAAAAUUUCUACUAAAUUAAUUAAAAUAAACUAAUACGCAAGAGGAACAAAGGCAACCUUUUGAAUUAAUCUAAAGAGAUGCAAACUAAAAAUACCGGUCUUGCCAUCAAACAGUGAAUCUAAGAGAGAUAAUUUAGAAAGAAAAUAGGCUUCGUAGGCAAAAUACUGGAAUACGAUGUUGAACAAAAUGACCAAGAUCACCAAACAUCCUACAUCCUUCAUCGACUUCUUCCAUAUUGGGACCAGCACCGCUGCCACCAGCAGGAGGAACAUCUUCAUCCAUGGCGCCACCGACAUCAGGU